RNAcentral lists this ribosomal RNA (256 nucleotides) under uncultured bacterium. RNAcentral describes it as "partial 16S ribosomal RNA". It matches the Rfam family "Bacterial small subunit ribosomal RNA", at positions 98 to 354 of the family's 1533-position model. The record is from RNAcentral.
CGGGACGGGUGAGUAACGCGUGGGCAACCUGCCUCAUACAGGGGGAUAACAGUUAGAAAUGACUGCUAAUACCGCAUAAGACCACGGUACUGCAUGGUACAGUGGUAAAAACUCCGGUGGUAUGAGAUGGGCCCGCGUCUGAUUAGCUAGUUGGUGAGGUAACGGCUCACCAAGGCAACGAUCAGUAGCCGACCUGAGAGGGUGACCGGCCACAUUGGGACUGAGACACGGCCCAAACUCCUACGGGAGGCAGCAG